This 238-nucleotide ribosomal RNA is filed under the name uncultured Actinomycetales bacterium. RNAcentral's name for it is "partial 16S ribosomal RNA". It matches the Rfam family "Bacterial small subunit ribosomal RNA", at positions 92 to 334 of the family's 1533-position model. The record is from RNAcentral. Lineage: Bacteria; Bacillati; Actinomycetota; Actinomycetes; Actinomycetales.
CGAGUGGCGAACGGGUGAGUAACACGUGGGUGAUCUGCCCUGCACUCUGGGAUAAGCCUGGGAAACUGGGUCUAAUACCGGAUAGGACCAUGCUUUAGUGUGUGUGGUGGAAAGUUUUUCGGUGUAGGAUGAGCCCGCGGCCUAUCAGCUUGUUGGUGGGGUAAUGGCCUACCAAGGCGGCGACGGGUAGCCGGCCUGAGAGGGUGAUCGGCCACAUUGGGACUGAGAUACGGCCCAG